CGUUACGGCCCUUCUUGGGCGUUUCCUCCCUAGAACUUCCAGCCGCGGGUUCGCCCGCGGCUUUUUUUUGCGGCGAA
This 77-nucleotide small RNA is filed under the name Amphiplicatus metriothermophilus. RNAcentral describes it as "Makes More Granules Regulator RNA (mmgR)". It matches the Rfam family "Makes More Granules Regulator RNA (mmgR)". From Rfam's summary of the family: SuhB later renamed mmgR (makes more granules regulator) was a putative non-coding RNA found multiple times in the Agrobacterium tumefaciens genome and related alpha-proteobacteria. Other non-coding RNAs uncovered in the same analysis include: speF, ybhL, metA, and serC. The record is from Rfam by way of RNAcentral. Lineage: Bacteria; Pseudomonadati; Pseudomonadota; Alphaproteobacteria; Parvularculales; Parvularculaceae.